This 45-nucleotide non-coding RNA is filed under the name Schistosoma mansoni. The record is from RNAcentral. Lineage: Eukaryota; Metazoa; Platyhelminthes; Trematoda; Strigeidida; Schistosomatidae.
AUCCAGAUGAUGAGUCCGAAAUAGGACGAAACGCGCUUGCUGGAU